This 468-nucleotide ribosomal RNA is filed under the name uncultured bacterium. RNAcentral describes it as "partial 16S ribosomal RNA". It matches the Rfam family "Bacterial small subunit ribosomal RNA", at positions 28 to 507 of the family's 1533-position model. The record is from RNAcentral.
GACGAACGCUGGCGGCGUGCUUAACACAUGCAAGUCGAACGGAAAGGCCCUGCUUUUGUGGGGUGCUCGAGUGGCGAACGGGUGAGUAACACGUGAGUAACCUGCCCUUGACUUUGGGAUAACUUCAGGAAACUGGGGCUAAUACCGGAUAGGAGCUCCUGCUGCAUGGUGGGGGUUGGAAAGUUUCGGCGGUUGGGGAUGGACUCGCGGCUUAUCAGCUUGUUGGUGGGGUAGUGGCUUACCAAGGCUUUGACGGGUAGCCGGCCUGAGAGGGUGACCGGACACAUUAGGACUGAGAUACGGACCAGACUCCUACGGGAGGAAGCAGUGGGGAAUAUUGAAAAAUGGGCGGAAGCCUGAUGCAGCAACGCCGCGUGCGGGAUGACGGCCUUCGGGUUGUAAACCGCUUUCGCCUGUGACGAAGCGUGAGUGACGGUAAUGGGUAAAGAAGAACCGGCUAACUACGUG